Long non-coding RNA from Andrographis paniculata, 847 nucleotides. RefSeq lists it as uncharacterized. The transcript is spliced from 3 exons. The record is from RefSeq and is a predicted model, not a curated record. NCBI's taxonomy places the organism in Eukaryota, Viridiplantae, Streptophyta, Magnoliopsida, Lamiales, Acanthaceae.
UUGGAAAUUCUCUCUCUCAGCUCAGUUCUCGCGCCGUGUCGGUCGAGUCGUCGUCGGCUCAGAUCCCCGCCGUUGACUCCGGCGUCAGGAAGAAGACUCAGGCGCCGUUAGGGUUGAGAAAUCGGAGGGGCUGUUACAAGCGAAGAAGGACUUCAGAUUCAUGAACAGUGGAGUCUUCCACUUCAGAAGAUGAGUUUGCCUGGAGAAAAUAUGGACAAAAGCUUAUCUUCAAUUCCCAUUAUCCCAGAUGCUAUUACAAAAGCACUUACAAGAAUGGAGGGUGCAAAGGCACAGAGCAAGUUCAAAUGAUCAAAAAGAAGCCUAAUACACUUUACCAAAUGACAUACAUCAAUCAUCACUCUUGCUCCUCAUCAUCAUCAUCAUCAUCAAAUCCAAUUAGGGCUUUUUACAAAAACCCCAAUUUCAGUUUGUAUGAUGAUGAUGUUCUUGUGAACCCAAGCAACAUUAAUAAUCUCAUCAUCACUUUCGAGGCCAAAAAUGGCGGCGACAGCCAUAUCAUCACCUCCGGAAACCAUCGUCCGGCGGUGAAAUCAGAAGAACAAACCGAUGAGCGAUCACUUGCUGGUUUACAGUCUUGCGGGUCGAUAAAUAAUUUGCCGUAUAGUGAAGAUAUUUGCGAUCCGUUUGGCGAUGAGGAGAUAGAUAGCUUCUUUUGCUUUGGCGACGACAAGAUUGAUGAAUACUAAGUGUUCCAUUGUCACCUUGCUGUAAUAAGCUAUGAGCUGUAUAAGUGUGUGUUCUAAUAUAAAUAACUGAAAUUAAAAAAAAAAAAAAAAACAGUGUAUUCUAAGAUAUAAUAAUGUCAAUUUUUGAUUUAUUACUGAAA